UACGUAGGGGGCAAGCGUUAUCCGGAAUUACUGGGUGUAAAGGGAGCGUAGACGGUAAUGUAAGUCUGGAGUGAAAGGCGGGGGCCCAACCCCCGGACUGCUCUGGAAACUAUGUUACUAGAGUGCAGGAGAGGUAAGCGGAAUUCCUAGUGUAGCGGUGAAAUGCGUAGAUAUUAGGAGGAACACCAGUGGCGAAGGCGGCUUACUGGACCGUAGCUGACGUUGAGGCUCGAAAGCGUGGGGAGCAAACAGG
This 253-nucleotide ribosomal RNA is filed under the name uncultured bacterium. RNAcentral's name for it is "partial 16S ribosomal RNA". It matches the Rfam family "Bacterial small subunit ribosomal RNA", at positions 524 to 776 of the family's 1533-position model. The record is from RNAcentral.